Molecule: ribosomal RNA, 1369 nt
Filed under: uncultured bacterium
Lineage: Bacteria
Description: bacterial SSU rRNA
Rfam family: Bacterial small subunit ribosomal RNA
Source: RNAcentral
GACGAACGCUGGCGGCGUGCCUAAUACAUGCAAGUAGAACGCUGAAGAGAGGAGCUUGCUCUUCUUGGAUGAGUUGCGAACGGGUGAGUAACGCGUAGGUAACCUGCCUUGUAGCGGGGGAUAACUAUUGGAAACGAUAGCUAAUACCGCAUAACAAUGGAUGACACAUGUCAUUUAUUUGAAAGGGGCAAUUGCUCCACUACAAGAUGGACCUGCGUUGUAUUAGCUAGUAGGUGAGGUAACGGCUCACCUAGGCGACGAUACAUAGCCGACCUGAGAGGGUGAUCGGCCACACUGGGACUGAGACACGGCCCAGACUCCUACGGGAGGCAGCAGUAGGGAAUCUUCGGCAAUGGGGGCAACCCUGACCGAGCAACGCCGCGUGAGUGAAGAAGGUUUUCGGAUCGUAAAGCUCUGUUGUAAGUCAAGAACGAGUGUGAGAGUGGAAAGUUCACACUGUGACGGUAGCUUACCAGAAAGGGACGGCUAACUACGUGCCAGCAGCCGCGGUAAUACGUAGGUCCCGAGCGUUGUCCGGAUUUAUUGGGCGUAAAGCGAGCGCAGGCGGUUUGAUAAGUCUGAAGUUAAAGGCUGUGGCUCAACCAUAGUUUGCUUUGGAAACUGCCAAACUUGAGUGCAGAAGGGGAGAGUGGAAUUCCAUGUGUAGCGGUGAAAUGCGUAGAUAUAUGGAGGAACACCGGUGGCGAAAGCGGCUCUCUGGUCUGUAACUGACGCUGAGGCUCGAAAGCGUGGGGAGCGAACAGGAUUAGAUACCCUGGUAGUCCACGCCGUAAACGAUGAGUGCUAGGUGUUGGAUCCUUUCCGGGAUUCAGUGCCGCAGCUAACGCAUUAAGCACUCCGCCUGGGGAGUACGACCGCAAGGUUGAAACUCAAAGGAAUUGACGGGGGCCCGCACAAGCGGUGGAGCAUGUGGUUUAAUUCGAAGCAACGCGAAGAACCUUACCAGGUCUUGACAUCCCGAUGCUAUUUCUAGAGAUAGAAAGUUACUUCGGUACAUCGGUGACAGGUGGUGCAUGGUUGUCGUCAGCUCGUGUCGUGAGAUGUUGGGUUAAGUCCCGCAACGAGCGCAACCCCUAUUGUUAGUUGCCAUCAUUCAGUUGGGCACUCUAGCGAGACUGCCGGUAAUAAACCGGAGGAAGGUGGGGAUGACGUCAAAUCAUCAUGCCCCUUAUGACCUGGGCUACACACGUGCUACAAUGGUUGGUACAACGAGUUGCAAGUCGGUGACGGCAAGCUAAUCUCUUAAAGCCAAUCUCAGUUCGGAUUGUAGGCUGCAACUCGCCUACAUGAAGUCGGAAUCGCUAGUAAUCGCGGAUCAGCACGCCGCGGUGAAUACGUUCCCGGGCCU